Molecule: long non-coding RNA, 20461 nt
Filed under: Triticum aestivum (bread wheat)
Lineage: Eukaryota; Viridiplantae; Streptophyta; Magnoliopsida; Poales; Poaceae
Description: long non-coding RNA (TAES_LNC013181)
Source: RNAcentral
GGAAAUAAAAAUAGUUUGGCAUAGAUAAGACACUUGUACAAUCUAAAUGGAAACACAAGGAGUUUGACAUCUCUUAGAAUCACACAGCAUAGGGGCGAACAAGGUGACAUCAAUAAUGACCAAUUAGAGGGUACCUUACAGAUUCUCUAUUCUUAACCAGCAUUGUUCAAAGCCACAAAACGCAUUACAAGUUCAGGACACAAACAGAUAGGACUCGGGUGUACUACACCCAAGUUAGUAAAAAAGUUGAAAAAAUUUCAGAUUUUUUGGACAAUGUUUGAUCACAUUUUUUCAAUCUUUUGCUAAACUCGGGUGUACUACACCCGAGAGUAGCCACUACUUUCCGGAAGAUCAAACUGAACUAGACAUAGAAAGCUAGAACAUAUCCAAGCCAAUGCCACAAAACAACAAGAUUAGGCCCAUAACCAACAACUUCUUUUAAUGAAUUGCCAAGCUAAGGACAUUAAGCUGCAUGCAGUACUUUCAGUCACCAUCAGAAGUCCAUUCAGCAAAACAUGGAAUGUAAGGCAGAACAUCCUGGAAUUCUUGAGAAAAAGUGCAUGUAGCAUUGACUUUCUGAUUCUCCGUAUCAUAUGACACUGCCAUCUCGUCCUCGUCAGUAAGGAAAAUCAAAUCACAAUCAGGAUGAAUCACGAACACCUUAUAGGACAUAUCAUCUUCGCCACGUUGCCUCCCGAACAGCUCUGAAACGUUGACAGUAUACUUGAGGGUCCACUUUCCACCACCAUAAUCUUCAAGAACCCACACAUAGAGUUGGCAAUCAUGAUCGUUAUCAAUUUGCCACGCAUACAGGCGUCCUUGGGCUGCCCAAUGGAAGGCGAAUGACUUGUGUUUGGCAUGUCCUCUGGCAUUUCAACCUCCCUCCAGACCUUCCCUUCCGGGUCGACCGUGACCAUUCAGGAAGACACAUUCUGAAUUCCUAACCAGAAUAGUCUUGUAAUACCACUCGCUCUGCACCUUGGUCCAUCGUCCGGUUUCCGACGAGUAGAUGGCCAUCUCGGUGAAUUCACAGAAACAGUUGGUCAGGGGCACAAACACCACAAAGCGGGACGGAGCUACUGCGUCGAAACCCAGGAAGAUAUCCAUUAUUGGCUCGAAAUACACAAUGUCACCGUCCUCUUCGUCCAGCCAUACUACAGGAGGCAACACAGUCCACUGCCCGGCCAUAGGAUUGCACACGACGUAAUCGUAUUCGUCUUCCUCAUCAUGACGCGAUUCCCAGCACUUGCAAAGCAGAAGGCUGCUGCAGCACUGCUCGACCGAGAAGCAAUCGUAGCUCCCGCGCAAGAAAGCGAGCGAAGGGUCGACCAAAGGGGGGCCUCUUCCCGACAGAUUACGGAAAUUGAAACGCCCGCGGUCGAUGAAGAAGAAGCCAGACAACGUCUGCGGCGACCUCUUGCGGACAGCCAUGGCUUGGAGACGCACUUGAAGCGGCAGAGCGACCUGUAGGGCACCCUCGACAGUAUCUCGACGAUGGCGCCUUCAGGAAGAUCCGCCCCGGGCUGCUGCUGCUGCUGCUGGUUCUUACACAUUGUAGAGGCAGCUCGUUUAGUUUCAACGUGAGAUUGGAUAUUUGGAUUCAAGAUUGGAAGAAGGCAGUGUAGGGGAACAUACCUCAGACGCUUCAUCGGUGGAGGGGAAUGGUGGCGUGGCGCUGUCGCGGCCUUGGUUGCCGGUGGACCGCGUAUGGUACUGCUCCGUGCAGUCAUGGGGAAGGCUGGCCUGCUGCUUGUGCCCAUGCUCCUCCUUCAUCUACAGAUGGUGGAGGGUGGACACGAUUCAUACAGGUUCCUUUCUUGGAUAGAAGAUUGGGAGAAGGAAUAGUUACAAAUGGAGCAAACCUCUGGACCUACCUCGCUGAUGGGGAACGGCGGCGGCGAAUGGCAUGGAGCCUCCUCGCCCUGGCCUGGGUGGAGAGUCGCCGGCACGUGGCCCUGCUCCGUGCAGCCUUGCUCGCCUUCUCCUCGUCCUCCUUGCGGCAUCGCCUCCUCGAUCGAGGCACUCGACAGGGUGGGUCGUCCUAGGCAGGCGGCGCGGCUCGCCGAGUCUCGAGGGUUUUCAAGGACAUCGUGGCUUUUAUGGCUUCGUGUUCCCCUUUUGAGAAGUGGAAUGGGCGCCUCACCAAAAAAUGUAGAAAAGAAAUGAAAAGGCGUGUGUGCGAUGGUCAUUUGGAUGAAAUAUUUUUCUAGAAAAAAAAUACAGAAAAUGUUUUGUUCUGACCGACCGCCUGCAGACUGCUACCUUUUUUUAGUAACACCUUAGAGGGUGCUUGGAUCCAAGGGACUUAUUUUAGUCUGACUAAAAAUAGUCUCUUUACGAUGCUAAAGUUUCAAGCACCCCUGCUGACUAAAGAGGGGCUAAAACUAGUCUUGAGACUAAAAUUUUUUAGUCAGGGGUACCCCUACUAAAAUAUGGAUUAAUCCUCUCUCUCCUCAUUUAACUCCUCUCCUUUAAACAGGCGAGUUCUAGAUUGGAGGGUUUGAAGGAUAAUAAAUGUUCAUUAACUUGAUUUUAGUCUCUUUAGUAUUUGGAUCCAAGCAUGGAUGAGGCUAGCAAGUUUUUGUCCUACUACUUUUAGUCAUAGGACUAAAACGUAUCAAGCACCCUCUCAAACUGCUACUAUCUCCGUCCUGAUUUAUUGAUCCUCUUUACAUUGUACAUCAAAUUUUAACUUUAGAUUUAACGAACAAAAUGUUAAUGCAUGUUAUAAAAAAUAAUAUAAUUGGAAACUAUAUUCAUAUACGAAUACAACAAUAUAAUUUUUUGUGACAUUCAUUAAUAUUUUGUUAGUUGAAUCUCUAGUCAAAAUUUGACACAAAAUACUAAAAGGACUAAUAAAAUAGGACAGAAGUAGUACCUGUUAGGCCAACUCUAAGAAACGACCCAUUUCGUCCGGCCGCGUUCGUUUGGAUUAUCGUGGCCCUAAACGCGCCCGCAAACAGACAGUCGUCUGUUUUCUAUUCGUCUGCGACUCAUUUCCGGCCCGAAAUUAGUUCGCAUUUGCGUUGAAACAGACAAGUCACUGGCGGACGGGGCACGAGCCCUUGUCCUCCCCUAGCCAGCCCAUGGGGAACACAACAUUCUCAGUUCCACCUUCUUUCCCAAAAUCCCUCUCGCCCUCCCCCGCCCCUUCCUAGCUCCAUGGCUGGUACCCCGCAGUAACCCGCCGCCAUCCUCUCGGGCGCCAUCUCCACCUGUCCCGCGACGAAAAAGAAGGCAAAUGUGGAGCUCGACCGACUCAACCAAGAAUCAUCCAAGAGGAGACCCGGAAUGCCAUCCACCAUGCAUGGGUCUCAUCUGUUUCUUCCAAGCAGCUUCUCCAUGUCUGCCUCCUCCUCGUCCUCCUUCGGCAUCGCCUCCUAGAUCGAGGCACUGGACUGCAUAUGGUGGUUUGUCCUAGGCAUGAAGCGCAGAUCGGCGCGGCUCGCUGAGUCUCGAGGGUUUUCAGGGACAUCGUGGCUUUCAUGCUUUAUGGCUUUGUUUUCCCCCUUGAGAAGUGGAAUGGGCGCCUCACCAAAAAUGUAGAAAAGAAAUGAUAAAGCGUGUGUGCGAUGGUCAUUUGGAUCAAAUAUUUUUGUAGAAAAAAAUACAGAAAAUGUUUUCUGCUGACCGACUGCCUGCAAACUGCUACCUGUUAGGCCAACUCCAACACACACCCCAUUUCGUCCAGCCGCGUUCGUUUGAGUCUGUUUUCUGUUUGUCUGCGACCCAUUUCCGGCCUGAAAUUAGUUUGCGUUUGGGUCAAAAUGGACAGGACACGGACGAACGGGACGCGAGCCCUUGCCCUCGCCUGGCCAGCCCAUGGGGAACACAAUGCUCUCAUUUCCACCUUCUUUCCCAAAAACCCUCUCGCCCUCCCCCGCCCCUUCCCAGCUCCAUGGCCGCCGCCCCGCAGCAACCAACCGCCAUCCUCCCGGGCGCCACCUCCACCCGUACCGCGAUGAAAAAGAAGCCAAAGGUGGGGCUCGAACUACUCAUUCAAGAAUCAUCCAAGAGGAUAACCCGGAGGGCCGCUACUGCGGAGAGGAAAGACGCAGCCCAGUAUGGCCUCAGGGCCGCUGCCGCACAACACAAGGACGCAGUUGAGGACAACGAGACCCUUGUCGUCAAGGCCACACAGGCAGCGCGACGCACGCCCUCCUCAUGCUAGUGUUUAGCUGACCCGCGCCGGCCACAUGCUCGUCGGCCGUUCGCCCUCCACAGGGCCAGUUGACGAGAUCCUCCACAACACGGCAAACAGGUUGUGUUUAUCUGACACAAGAGCAUGGUGCAAACCGCUUCCCCAUGUUGCGGGACGAUAGCGUGAUCACGCCGGCCACCCCCACCCCCGCGGCCUUCAUCGACCCCAAUGUCACGCGCUGGGUUGGGUGUCGCCGGUCAGUAAGCCACCGGGAUACAAAGCAAGCGGCCACGGGCGAUUCCUAUGGCUAACCUUCCCGACGCCCGCAACCUGUUUGAUGGAUCGUCGUACCGACGCCGGGCAAGACGGCCCCAACUUCAACGCUUUCAUGGAGGACGUCAUCUACGAAGGCCAUGGCCAAGCCUUCCACACCGAGAGCCAAGGGCAAGGUGUCGGUGUCAAAACCGACGGAUCUCGGGUAGGGGGUCCCGAACUGUGCGUCUAAGGCGGAUGGUAACAAGAGGCGGGGACACAAUGUUUACCCAGGUUCGGGCCCUCUCUAUGGAGGUAAUACCCUACUUCCUGCUUGAUUGAUCUUGAUGAUAUGAGUAUUACAAGAGUUGAUAUACCACGAGAUCAUAGAGGCUAAACCCUAGAAGCUAGCCUAUGAUUAUGAUUGUUGUUGUCCUACGGACUAAACUCUCCGGUUUAUAUAGACACCGGAGGGGGCUAGGGUUACACAGAGUCGGUUACAAGGGAGGAGAUCUACAUAUCUGAAUUACCAAGCUUGCCUUCCACGCAAAGGAGAGUCCCACCCGGACACGGGACGAAGUCUUCAAUCUUGUAUCUUCAUAGUCCAACAGUCCGGCCAAAGUAUAUAGUCCGGCUGUCCGAGGACCCCCUAAUCCAGGACUCCCUCAGUAGCCCCUGAACCAGUCUUCAAUGACGAUGAGUCCGGCGCGCAGAUUGUCUUCGGCAUUGCAAGGCGGGUUCUUCUCCAAAUUCUGAGUACCUGUUGAGUAGUGUCCGGCUUCCCAUGAAUGUUGCACUCCUCGGCUUCUGCGCCUAAUAAUGGCUAUCCUCCAUGUGUCGAGCGAAUGCGAGAAGUCGGGGCAUUUUUACACUUGCCACCCUAACCAUGUAAGUAAACCGUCUAUUUAAAGAUACGGGGAUCCUCAGAUCCAGAUCACACCAUCCUCCCACAGCAAGUAUCCAUCGGAGCGCGCCCGGAAAAGUCCAUCCCAUCAUGGCCGGCCAUCGCAGCUCCUCCUCUCGCUCCCGUAGCCCUAAGCCAAGCAAUUGGAAGAAGUGUUCCGUCCCCACCAGCCAAUUAGUAGAGUUACAGACCCAGGGGUUUCUCCCUCCAGCGUAUAUGGCCCCCGUUCGAGCCGGACUGGUCACUUACAACGGCGGGGAGCAAGCGGAGAGCCUUCCCAACCCAUCCAUGGGGGAGCGGGUAUGCCUUGUCCCUUACUUACUAAGGGGGCUUGGAUUUCCCAUCCAUCCGUUCCUCCGCGGGCUCCUGGAGUUCUACGGCCUCCAGCUGCAUAACUUUACUCCCGCCUCCAUAUUACACAUCGCUGGCUACGUCGCCUUUUGCGAGCUAUUUUUGGGCUGUGAAGCUCAUUUCAAGCUAUGGAAGAGGCUAUUCUGCCUCGUACCCCGUACACAGGAGGGGUCAAUAUAUCAAGUGGGCGGAGCCGAGAUAUGGCGCAUCGCCGGGACUGGAUACCUGUCAGGUACUCCGAAGAAGACAUCCGAAGACUGGCCUUCAGAGUGGUUUUAUAUGGAGGACGUCCCCCUUUCGGACCCUAUUCGGAUGGGCCUUCCUGAGUUCGACAACGCCCCUUUGAAGAAACGCCGUAGCUGGCGCCCUCGGAGCCCCCAGGAGGAAGAUAACAGAGAAGUCCUUUUCCUGAUGGGCCGGAUAAAAACGCUGACCAAAUCAGGAUUGACAAUAGUCGAGGUUAUGUCAAUAUGUAUAAUGCGGGGGGUGCAGCCACUUCAUAUCGGAGACAACCCAUGUGGCACUUCAAUGGAGAAGACGAUGCCACCCGCUGCAGUCGUAAGGGACCGGACUCCGUCGCUGCUCUAGCGAAAAUACUGUCCGAUUUAUAUAAAGGAGAGAAAGAGGAGUUCGUCCGUAUUAAGCCACGGGAUGGAUUCUCCAUGUACAACCCCCCAAACUGGGUGAGCUGCUACUUUUUACUCCGAACCUUCCCGCAUUCUUUGUCAUAAGUAUUUACCUUGCUAUUUCAUAGUAGGAACUGCGAAAAGCUAUGAGGGAGGUCCACAGCCCGCCUCCACAACCAGAGGACCAUGACCGGGCCCUCGACCCCGGACUCGAAGAAGAUCCGGACACAUUUGUGGAGCUCCUCGACAGGACGUUCUAUCAAUUAAGCUGCGACGGUGCCUUGGUGGCCAUCAUAGCCGAUUAUCCUGGACUACUCCUUGCAUCACAUGUAAGUAAAACCGGAGUCCCAACUUCCGAGAAGGAUCCGUUUUUGCGCUUCACCUACCGCACAUAUAUGGUGUCUUACAGGGAAGGUCCUCCGGACGCCAUGCCGAACCCGCAGUGACUCACCAACAAGGGGCACCGAAGCCGGGUAGGCUUAAAAGGAAGGCGGUCAGGACUGAGACGCCGUUGCAGAGGUAUGAAAAAGUACCCCGCUCCGUGGUUGUCGUCUGAUACGUCUCCGUCGUAUCUAUAAUUUUUUAUUGUUCCAUGCCAAUAUUAUACAACUUUCAUAUACUUUUUGGCAACUUUUUAUACUAUUUUUGGGACUAACAUAUUGAUCCAGUGCCCAGUGCCAGUUCCUGUUUGUUGCAUGUUUUAUGUUUCGCAGAAUACCCAUAUCAAACGGAGUCCAAACGGGAUAAAAAUGGACGGAGCUUAUUUUUGGAAUAUUUGGAAAAUCUGGGAGAAAGAUCAACGCGAGACGGUGCCCGAGGUGGCCACGAGGCAGGGGGCGCGCCUGCCCCCCCGGGUGCGCCCCUGACCCUCGUGGGCCACCCGUAAGGCGGUUGAUGCCCUUCUUCGGCCGCAAGAAAGCUAAUUUUUGGUAAAAAAAAUCACGGCGAAGGUUUCAAUCCAAUCGGAGUUACGGAUCUCCAUAUAUAUAUACGAAACGGUGAAAGGGCAGCAGAGGAGAACGCAGAAACAGAGAGAGGCAGAGAGACAGAUCCAAUCUCGGAGUGGCUCUCGCCCCUCCCACGCCAUGGGAGCCAAGGACCAGAGGGGAAACCCUUCUCCCAUCUAGGGAGAAGGUCAAGGAAGAAGAAGAAGGGGGGCUCUCUCCCCCUCGCUUCCGGUGGCGCCGGAGUGCCACCGGGGGCCAUCAUCAUCACCGCGAUCUUCACCAACACCUCCACCAUCUUCACCAACAUCUCCAUCACCUUCCCCCAUCUAUAUUCAGCGGUCCACUCUCCCGCAACCCGCUGUACCCUCUACUUGAACAUGGUGCUUUAGGCUUCAUAUUAUUAUCCAGUGAUGUGUUGCCAUCCUAUGAUGUCUGAGUAGAUUUUCGUUGUCCUAUCGGUGGUUGAUGAAUUGCUAUGAUUGAUUUAAUUUGCUUGUGGUUAUGUUGCUGUCCUUUGGUGCCCAUCAUAUGAGCGCGCGCGUGGAUCACACCAUAGGGUUAGUUGUAUGUUGAUAGGACUAUGUAUUGGAGGGCAAGAGUGACAGAAGCUUCAACCUAGCAUAGAAAUUGAUGCAUACAGGAUUGAAGAGGGACCAAUAUAUCUUAAUGCUAUGGUUGGGUUUUACCUUAAUGAACGUUAGUAGUUGCGGAAGCUUGCUAAUAGUUCCAAUCAUAAGUGCAUAGAAUUCCAAGUAAGGGAUGACAUGCUAGCAGUGGCCUCUCCCACAUAAAAUUUGCUAUCGGUCUAGUAAAGUAGUCAAUUGCUUAGGGACAAUUUCGCAACUCCUACCACCACUUUUCCACACUCGCUAUAUUUACUUUAUUGUGUCUUUAUCUAAACAGCCCCUAGUUUUUAUUUACGUGCUUUUUAUAUUCUUGCAAACCUAUCCGAAAACACCUACAAAGUACUUUUAGUUUCAUACUUGUUCUAGGUAAAGCGAACGUCAAGCGUGCGUAGAGUUGUAUCGGUGAUCGAUAGAACUUGAGGGAAUAUUUUUUCUACCUUUAGCUCCUCGUUGGGUUCGACACUCUUACUUAUCGAAAGAGGCUACAAUUGAUCCCCUAUACUUGUGGGUUAUCAUCGUCUUUUAAAAUAUAAUAACGUCCAUGUUUCCUAGCAGAAAAGACGCUCACCGGACCAUAUCCGGAGAGCCUGCCGGCCACGCCUCCACCAGCCGGGUUCCAGAGCCAGACUUAGGGGCAGACGCUCACGUGGGGCCAACACCGGAUGUUCCUCCUACAGAGGAUGCGGAUAGGCUGUCCGCUACGAAUUCCGAAGUGGAGAGUGCCAUGAAUCACAGGCGUCGCUGGGCCAUACUCCGCGACACUUGUUUCUCUCAAGAGGCGUUCGAUGCCUUCAACUCAGGAGACGCGUACAUCCGCGCUGCUCAAAAUGGUCUUGCUAGAGCCACGGACCAGUAUGUAAAGGAUAUACGGGUAAGAAAAUCUAAUAAUUAUGUAUAUCAGUAGCCCCUGAGACUUGAAACAGUUGGCACAACUGAUUUAAGGAUCGUUGUUGUCGUAGGUUCUUACGGAGAAGAAUACCCAGUUGUCUCAAGAGCUGGAGGAGUGCAAAGCCCAGCUACGGGCCGUAGUUGCCGGAAUGGAGGAGUCCAAGAAGGCCCCAUCUGGUAAUACUUGUCUUGAUCGAAAAGAAUGAAAUGACAUGUACCAGAUAGUAUUCGGCAUGCAUGCACGUCUAACAAUAGAUUCUGUAGAUAAUCCUGGAGUGAAUCCGAAGAUCGUGCGAGGGGAUGAGCAACAUGCUCAACGACAGCUAGAGGCUGGCGAGCGCGUGCUUACGCGGGUUAGGCGGGAGAAAAACGAUCUCCAAGAUGCCAAUACCCGGCUGGGUGUUGAACUGAAAGAUGUUCGGGCCCAGCUUGCUGACUCCGUAAAGGAGAAUAAGAGGCUUCGACGCGGCAUGUUUAGUAAGUGCUUGAAUGAACUUUUAUAGAGUUCGGCGAAGAAACCGGCUAACAGAUUUAUAUCUGUAGGUAUAUUGACGGGUCGUCCCGAAGAGGAGAUGCCCGGAUCUGCGGGCGAUCUUCUGCAAGAGCUCUCACAACUGCACGAACAAGUUCGGCAGGUGAUGCAGGGCAUUGCCCAGGCCUUGUGGUCAUCCGCCUCAUGGAAGAUAUCGGCCUGCCGACAAGGUGCAAGGGAAGCCUGGGCCAUGGUGAAGACGCGAUAUACCAAGGCUGACCCGAACCACAUGGCCGAGGUCGGACCUGUAGGGUCUGAUGGGAAAGAGAUCCCCGUUAGUCUGGUAUAUGACCAGGUAAAAUUAGCCGCAAAGUAUUCCCAGCAGGAUUGUAGGCUAGACAACCUGUUGGAUGGUAUAGAAGAAGAAUUUAGUCAGUCUAAGUGAUUGUGUACUUCAAAUGACAUAUAUUGUCCCUAGCCGGAUUGUAAAUCAUUUGUCACGGCAGACCUUUUCGCUUCGAUCUCCGGACCCGACAGUCCGGAGUGUAUCCGAAUACCCGCUCAGUUAUGUAAAAGACGGGGUACGCGUGGAGACCAGGCGUAGGGGUCAUAAGUGCUUAAACAGACAAGUACCCAACUAGCUAUGUUAUAUUACAUGGAUAGUAAGAAACAUUUUCCAGGGAGAAUAGUUCCGUUAAGGGUUCCUUUCCCUGGGUACGCAUGCCUUAAUGUGCAUGUCUGAACUGCGAAAAGGGACGCAGGAUAUAAACAUCUGGGGGCAUGUAUUGCAAUAAGUAGAAGUCAUCUUUUGUUCACCGACCGAAUAUUCCCUUAAGAACACUAGCUUUCGGCUUCACCCAGUCUGAGGUACACAUCCGGCUGACCCGGCAGUAACAAUCGCAGAGGUGCUCCCCUUAUGCCCUAGCCGAAUUAACGGGAACGUAGGGCAUAAACACAAGAGCCAGGCAACCCAGCUUGGCCAAAACUUAAGUCAUAUCGAUGCAUAUAAUGGCGAAGAAAAGGUACAUGUGGAAAAGUAACACAUGUGCAAGGGGCAUAAGGCCCGGAAUAUAAUUAUAUUAAGCUUCUGUAUAAGAAGCCCCCAGGUAUAAUGAGCACGCAUGGUGCGUCAAGAUUGUGUAGUCAAGACACACUUUAAGCUUUUAAUGCCAUGAAGAAAAGGGGAGGAAAGAAAGAAAGACAGAUAGCGGAUAUAUAUAUAUAUAUAUAUAUAAAAGGGCGGAGGUAAGGAGACGAACACAGAGUCCGGCACUAGGCGUAGAAUCUUUGGAGUCUGGCCGCGUUCCAUGGAUUUGGCUCGAGUCGAUUGUCCGAUGCAUCACGCAGACGGUACGCUCCACCGGUGAGAACUUUAUCGAUGAUGAAGGGACCUUCCCAUUUGGGCUUGAGCUUGUCCUUUUUCUUCUCUAGUAGGCGUAAAACGAGUUCGCCAACAUUAUAAGUUUUGGCCCGUACUUCCCUGCUUUGAUACCGUCGAGCCUGUUGCUGAUAGAAUGCGGAGCGGGCUUUUGCAACGUCACGCUCCUCCUCCAGGGCAUCUAAAUUGUCCUGUCGAUCAAGCUCGGCUUCUUUCUCUUCGUACAUGCGCACUCGAGGUGAGUCAUGAAUGAUGUCGCAGGGCAGUACCGCCUCUGCGCCGUACACCAUAAAAAAGGUGUGUAUCCGGUAGUGCGAUUCGCGUGGUCCGCAGUCCCCAUAGUACGGAGUCGAGCUCCUCAACCCAGUGCGUAUCUGAUUCCUUCAAGGAUCGCACUAGUCUGGGUUUAAUGCCGCCCAUAAUAAGACCAUUUGCUCGUUCGACUUGACCGUUUGUUUGGGAGUGAUAGACGGAGGCAUAAUCGAGCUUAAUGCCCAUGUUGCCGCACCAAGUUUUUACCUCGUCAGCUGUGAAGUUUGAGCCGUUAUCGGUGAUGAUGCUGUGGGGGACACCAUAACGGUGUACAACCCCGGAUAUGAAGUCUAUCACUGGUCCGGACUCGGCCGUUUUAACUGGUUUGGCUUCUAUCCUUUUGGUGAAUUUAUCCACCAUGACCAAUAGGUAUUUUUUCUUAUGGCUUCCUUCUUUAAGGGGUCCGACCAUAUCAAGCCCCCAGUCCGCAAAGGGCCAAUUAAUGGGUAUUGUUUGGAGAGCGGGAGGUGGCAUAUGGCUUUGGUUUGCAAAAAUAUGGCACCCGACGCAAUGUUUGACGAGGUCCUGUGCGUCUGCUCGGGCUGUCGGCCAGUAGAAACCCGUACGGAAGGCCUUGCUUACCAGGGCCCGAGCUGCGGCGUGAUGGCCGCCGAGUCCAGCAUGAAUUUCUGCCAAAAGUUGCCGUCCUUCCUCUUCGGAGAUACACCUUUGAAGUACUCCGGUAGCGCUUUUCUUAUAAAGCUCUCCCUCGUGGACCUUGUAGGCUUUAGACCGUCGCACAAUGCAACGUGCCUCGUUUGGGUCCUCGGAGAGUUCUUGCCUAUUUAGGUAAGCCAAGAAGGGUUUUGUCCACGGGGCGAUGACAGCCAUAAUCACGUGGGCCGAAGGUGUUAUUUCGGUGGCGGAGCCUCCGAUUAUGUCAGAGUGUUCAGGAUCUGGUGUUGUGGCCGGAUCCGGACUGUUGUUGCUGGUCUCCCCUUCCCACACCACGGAUGGCUUAAACAGCCUUUCCAAGAAGAUAUUAGGUGGGACAGGGUCGCGUUUAGCGCCGAUGCGGGCGAGGAUAUCCGCCGCUUGAUUGUUUUCUCGGGCCACAUGGUGGAAUUCGAGCCCCUUGAACCGAGCUGACAUUUUGAGGACGGCAUUGUGGUAAGCCGCCAUUUUUGGGUCCUUGGCGUCAAAGUCUCCAUUUAUUUGAGAUAUUGCGAGGUUCGAAUCCCCACGCACCUCUAGGCGUUGAAUGCCCAUGGAGAUUGCCAUCCAGAGACCAUGCAACAGGGCCUCAUAUUUUGCUGCGUUGUUGGAGUCUGUGUAUAAUAUUUGGAGUACGUAUUGUACUGUAUCUCCGGUGGAGGAUGUCAGGACGACGCCUGCCCCCAGACCAGCCAGCAUCUUAGAGCCGUCAAAGUGCAUGAUCCAAUUGGAGUACGCGCCGUACACUUUAGGGAGUUCAGCUUCUGUCCAUUUGGCGACGAAAUCAGCCAGUACUUGCGACUUAAUGGCCCGCCGUGGUUUGUAUGUUAUGUCGAAUGGGAGGAGCUCAAUAGCCCAUUUAGCAAUCCGGACAGUGGCAUCGUGGUUAUUUAUUAUGUCAUUGAGUGGUACUUCAGAGGCCACCAUGAUUGAACAAUCUUGAAAGUAGUGUCGUAGUUUCUGGGAUGCCAUGAAGACCGCGUAUGCUAUCUUUUGAUAAUGUGGGUACCGUGAUUUGCAUGGAGUGAGGACAGUGGAUACGUAGUAUACCGGCUUUUGAAGCGGGAACUUAUGUCCGUCCGUCUCUCGUUCAACGACGAGCACUGCGCUUACAACCUGGUGCGUUGCCGCUAUAUAUAACAGCAUUGGUUCGCCGACAUUUGACGCGGCCAAUAUUGGGUUGGUGGCCAAAACGGCUUUUAUUUCUUCCAGUCCAGCCGUGGCCGCAUCCGUCCACUCAAAGUGUUCGGUGCGUCGAAGAAGGCGAUAAAGGGGUAGUGCUUUUCUCCUAAUCGGGAGAUAAAGCGGCUUAAGGCAGCCACGCAUCUAGUUAAUUUGUGGAUUUGCUUGAGGUCCGUUGGGAUAGCCAACUAUGACAGAGCUCGGAUUUUAGCCGGAUUUGCUUCAAUUCCUCUACUGGAGACGAUGAAGCCCAAGAGCUUUCCGGCGGGCACGCCGAAAACGCAUUUUUCCGGAUUGAGCUUGAUGUCAUAUGUUCGGAGAUUGUCGAACGUGAGCCUCAAGUCGUCUAUUAAGGAUUCGACGUGUCUGGUUUUAAUGACCACGCCGUCUACGUAUGCCUCCACUGUUUUGCCAAUUUGUGUUUCCAGGCAUGUCUGAAUCAUGCGUUGAUAGAUUGCACCGGCGUUUUUGAGCCCGAAAGGCAUGGUGUUAAAACAGAAGGGGCCGUAUGGAGUGAUAAAUGCCGUUGCGGCUUGAUCGGACUCCGCCAUCUUAAUUUGAUGGUAUCUGGAGUAUGCGUCGAGGAAACACAAUGAGUCGUGUCCUGCGGUAGCGUCGAUAAUUUGAUCGAUGCGGGUAGGGGGAAGGGAUCCUUGGGGCAAGCCUUGUUAAGGUCCUUGAAAUCGACACAUAGGCGCCAGGAUUUGUCCUUCUUUGGUACCAUCACCAGGUUUGCUAGCCAGUACGGAUGUUUUAUUUCUCUAAUGAAUCCGGCCUCAAGUAACUUGGCUAGCUCUUCUCCCAUGGCUUGUCGCUUAGGCUCAGAGAAACGCCACAGAGUCUGCUUGACCGGCUUGAACCCCUUUAGAAUGUUAAGGCUAUGCUCGGCCAGCCUGCGUGGGAUUCCUGGCAUGUCUGAAGGAUGCCAGGCGAAGAUGUCCCAAUUCUCGCGCAAGAACUCCCGCAAUGCGGCGUCUACUGUGGGGUUUAACUGUGCCCCGAUGGAUGCUGUUUUUGUAGGGUCCGUUGGGGACUUGGAAUUUGACUAUUUUGUCCGCUGGUUUGAAAGAGGUGGACUUGGGUCUUUUGUCGAGUAUCACGUCGUCCUUGUCCACUGUGGAGCGUAGCACAGUUAGUUCUUCGGCCGCAAGGGCUUCGGAUAACGCCUCGAGGGCUAGUGCGACGGUUUUAUUUUCGGCGCGGAGUGCUAUGUCCGGAUCACUAGCUAGAGUGAUGAUUCCAUUGGGCCCGGGCAUUUUGAGCUUCAUGUACCCGUAAUGGGGUAUAGCUUGGAAGAUCGUGAAUGCCUCCUGCCCUAAAAGGGCGUGGUAUCCGCUACUGAACGGGGCCACUUGGAAUGUGAUUUCUUCGGACCUAUAAUUCUCCGACGUGCCGAAUACCACAUAUAGUGUGAUUUUUCCUGCACAUCGUGCCUCCCGACUAGGGAUGAUUCCUCUGAAGGUCGUGCUGCUUUGCUCAAUGCGGCUCUUGUCUAUUUCCAUUUUUCGAAGAGUCUCCUCAUAGAUGAGGUUUAAUCCGCUGCCACCGUCCAUGAGCACUUUAGUAAGCCGGAAGCCGUCCACAAUUGGACUAAGGACCAAGGCGGCUGGUGCUCGGGCUGUUCGGAAUGUAGGUUCGUCACUGGUAUUGAAGGUUAUAGCCGUAUCGCUCCAUGGAUUUAUUGCUGCCACGUGGCAGACUUCGGCAAGGCUGCGGAGUACUCGCUUGCGCCUAUUAUUUGAGGCGAAGGUCUCGAAGACUGUCAAUAUUGUAUUGUUAUUUUCCACGGGAUGGUGCUCUAUUGUAUUGUUGAUGAGGAUAUCCUCGCCACUCUUGGCCACCUGCCGGAGUAUCCAACAUGCUCUAAGGCUAUGUGUUGGCAUGGCAUCCGUUGUACUGUGAAUUUUGCAUGGCCCAUUGAGCCAUCCCUCCAAUACGGUUCCACGCCCUAUAGUGGGCUUUUGUUUCUUUGUAAUUGGAUCGGGUGACUUAUGAGAGUACACCCUUUUAGUUUGGACGGGGGGGUUUAGUGAGAGCCGGAGGAUCCCAGAAUUUUGUUUGGGUUUUCAAGGCGCUUUCCAUCGUACAGUACUUCUGUACUAUGGCUGCCAAGUCAGCGAAGUGUGCUGUGUCACGGCGACUGAUGGCGUUGAGGAUUCCCUUGUCCGUGCAAUUUUUGCAAAAGAAUGAAAUUGCGUCUUCCUCGCGACAGUCCUUGACCUUGCUCAUUACAAGGAGGAAUCUGGCCCAAUAGUGAUGUACUGUCUCUUGGGGCUCUUGUCUAAUGUGGGAAAGAUCACUUAUAUCUGGGUGGGUGGGUAGAUUUAGGUCUGAACCCUAACCCGAUCUGAGACCCAGGGGCGGAGGAGUUUUCGAACUUGGCAGUUCGGGCUCCGGGAUGUUGACCAAUAGAUCUGGCCCACUGUCUGAUUUUAGGUUCAAAGCUUGGGCCAUGUCCUCCCGUAGACGGGUAUCCGGCUCGGAGAGCUCGGGAAUCCGGACAUAGUUUGUCCUCAAGAUAGAGGAAGAAUCGCUGCGUUGCUCCUCCACCACCGCUAUCUGAUGGGUGACCGGCGGAGAGUUAAUCUCCCUUUGGUCGGGUUUAAUCCCGAUCUGAUCAUAGUCCGUAGCGACUCCCAAUGCGGCCAUGCGAUCCAAGAGCCCAUUCAAGGAAGAGAGCUCCAUUGGAUCCAUCUGCUCGGCGAAUGCCGAGCCGACGUGGAGGCUGUUUUUGAUGACCCGAGAAGUCAUCGUCGGCGCAACGGCCGAACGGGCGGUCAUGAUGAAGCCGCCUAGUCGGAGAGUUUGGCCUACAGCCAAGGCUCCCCCGGAGGUGAUGUUGUCCUUGACAACAAGACGAGCCAUCAAGCCUUAUGGUGACGGCACAGUGGAACUCUCAAUGAAAGCACCAAUGUCGGUGUCAAAACCGGCAGAUCUCGGGUAGGGGGUCCCGAACUGUGCGUCUAAGGCGGAUGGUAACAAGAGGCGGGGGACACAAUGUUUACCCAGGUUCGGGCCCUCUCUUUGGAGGUAAUACCCUACUUCCUGCUUGAUUGAUCUUGAUGAUAUGAGUAUUACAAGAGUUGAUCUACCACGAGAUCGUAGAGGCUAAACCCUAGAAGCUAGCCUAUGAUUAUGAUUGUUGUUGUCCUACGGACUAAACCCUCCGGUUUAUAUAGACACCGGAGGGGGCUAGGGUUACACAGAGUCGGUUACAAGGGAGGAGAUCUACAUAUCCGAAUUGCCAAGCUUGCCUUCCACGCAAAGGAGAGUCCCACCCGGACACGGGACGAAGUCUUCAAUCUUGUAUCUUCAUAGUCCAACAGUCCAGCCAAAGUAUAUAGUCCGGCAGUCCGAGGACCCCCUAAUCCAGGACUCCCUCACAAGGCUUCAAUCCCGACAAUACCCAAAGCGAAGACAGGCGCGACCAACAUGAAGAGGCCGACGACAUUGGCCAUGGCAACCAAGAUGAAGAGGCCGACGACAUUGGCCAUGGUAACCAAGAUGAAGAGGCCGACAACCAUGCUAACUCAUUGGCGAUGGCAACCAUGCCAAUGCAUACACAUGUUUAACGAUUGUUCGUUCGUCACGUAGGGUAAUCCAAUGUUUUUUUUGCUGCGUGCAUGCUUCUUUAGAGCAUGGUUAAUAGUAUAGCCAGCUGCUGGCUAUAAGCCAGUGAAAUGUCAUCUACAGCCCAUCUUAUAGCGAACAUGUAUAAUAGUAGAUCAAAAGAAUAUACUACUUUUUUAUUAUGUGGCCCACCUUUCAUUCUCACAAAGUGCCUAGGAGCACGUGCUCUUCACGAAGAGCCCGCUUACCUUCUCUCUCCUCUUCUCUUUCCUCCAACUAAGCAGAAAUAUACUAGUUUAUUUCUUAUAGCACGCUGACUCAGCUCUAUUGUACUUGCUCUUAGUCGGUCUUUACAUCUUCUAGUGGUGCCCUGUGAAAUACUACAAGAAUCAUCAUAGAUGCAACCAACGACUACUCUGCUUUUCUCUACCUGAAUUGGUGCCACUUUUGAUGUUUCAUAAAUAGUGCCAUGUGGAAAAACUAUAGCAGUCAUCGAUCAUAGGUGCAGAUGCAUGGAGACAUAAUUGCAUUAUUAGAGGUUCAGAUAGCCGCUCAUAAUAAAGAAUUGUGCGAUUAUUUUGUAGUAAAAGAGUAAAAGUACAUCAAGACCAAUCUGAAUUUCCUUUGUUUCCAACGGGAUUCUAACGGAAUGGGGUAAAAGUUUGUCUUCCAUGCUUGUAUGUCCGCCUACACCUAUGUAAUCUAGUGCAUAAAAUAAUCAAAUCUACUCUGCAUGACUCACUAGAUUUUUGAUAAAUUAAUUUUUGGUUGCUCGUAGAAAGUUUGUCUUCCAUGUUUGAUGAUGAUGCAGCAACAUGGAUGGUAGCUCUACGCGAUAUCUAUUUUAUGUGUGGUUCUGGGAUCUCUACUUAAUUUGUUAUGCCUAAUCCUACCUUGUUACUUCAUGCCAGUUCUUGUUCUAGCAUAGGCUCUAUUAUAAUGAGAAGGGGAAGAAUGGGUUCACAAACAUCUUGUUAUGUUUAGACAAAAAAAAACACUCUGUUCUGAACUUGUUAUAAUGUAACUGGAAGACCUACUUAUGUGGGUUCGACCUGGUAACCGAAAUCUUGGCCUGCAAUCCUUUGAUUGGUGAAAGAUUUUACCAAGCACAUACGAACUAUUAAACCUGAUACUGUUUCCACUCAUCCUCUUAGUUUCGGGUUAUUAUUUUUGCUGACAGUUAGUUUCAGUUAUGUUUUUGUCCCAUUUGUCCUGCAUGUAACUGAUGGUUUACUUUAAACCUUGUAUGGUAUAUUUUAACAGAAUAUAUGUUGCAAAUAGCUGUUACUUGCAAACAAUAAGAAAAGGAGUCUGCGGCAUGGGGAAUCACAUGCAAAUGUUUUCGUAAUCAGCCUUGCUAGACUGAGACUUCGUGAUGUCUCAGUUGAUGAUAUAUUCAUGAGAUCUUACACUGAGAUCUGUGGUUUGCUGUCAAUGGCACAACACCACAGUGUCCGCCCGACCAGAUAGAUAGCACAUGCAACAAGUAGCUAGCAGCCUAAGUUCAACCCUCAACCUCCAAAAACCAGUGGCCAAAAGAUGACAUUUUGGAGCUUUUCAACCGAGACUUGACUAUUUAUAAGGAACAAUGUAGCAUGAAUUUUGUGCCGGAAGACAAAACUGUCACAGGCGGUCACACUCAUCUCAUGUCAAGACUUGGCCAGCCAAGCAAAUGGACAAUUUUCCGUUUUGGCAAAAUGCAGGCAGCUUUCAGCAAAGAAUAGCAGGGGGGGUAUCUAUCCUGCGUGGAAGUUCGAGACAGCGGUAGUUCAGACUGGAACACGAUCUAAUUUUGAUCUAGUUAAUAGCUCCUAAACUGAAUGUCCUCAUCCGCCAAAAACUUGCAUCGAACAAAAUACAAGGGUUUGAAGAAUGAAGGCACCAGAAUAGGCUGCUUGGCUCUGCUAACCCGAAAGGGAGUGCACCCCGCUCCAAAAGACAAUGUUUGAACUUUGAACAAUAUUGAUUUGACUACUGAAUCCUAAAUCAAUGUAAGUACUAUGUAGCAAAGUAACAAUUGGUAGUUCACUGCAGUACGAUCUCACAAAUUUUACAAGUAAUGCUCAGAUUGGACUUGGCUUCUUCUCCAAUUCAAAUUUACCAGUCUAAAAAAGGAAGAAUUUGUCAACACUGGACCGGAAUGGUUACUAGAUCUUCUAGCACGAAUUAAUGAAGGAAAGAAAGAAUGUGAUCAUGAUAAUCUGGAGGAACUGGCAACAAAGGAAUGAUCAAGUGCAUAAUAAACCAGUGCCACCAGUGCACGUAACAAAGAGUUUCUUGGUAGCUACAAUAAUUCGCUAUCCCAAAUUAAACGCAAAGAUGGACAGGAUCCUAUCAAGGGGAAAGGACUUGCAGAUGAAUAUGGUGUGCAGCGUGAACACAAGCUUAGGGCGACGGCCUAUGCCCCAUGGCCACCGCCAGCAGAAGGAAAACUGGCGAUCUCGGUCGAUUGAGCCUACUAUGUCCAGAACAAAGAUGCAGGCCUCGGCGUGAUUAUUAGAGACUCGGUUGGUGACUUGGUUCUUGCAUUCUACAAGUAUGUGGCUAGGUGUGAAGACCCCUUUGAAGCAGGACUGUUGGCAGACAAGGAAGGGAUUCAGGCAGCAACCACCUAUGCAACAGGGCAGUUUGUCCUUCAAACUGACUGCUGGAAUAUGAUUAAGACGCUCAAGAACCUGAGCCGAAAGAAGUCACGAAUAGGCCAUCUGGUUAGAGAGGUGAAGAAGUUGUUCAUGGAAGAAAGUGGGCCAUCUAGUUAGAGAGGCGAAGAAGUUAUUCGUGGAAGAAAGGGAGCUGAUCAUCAUGAAAUUAGAUAGAAGCCAGAAUAGGGUUGCAGAUUUCCUAGCUAAAUUUUCGUGCUCAGAGCAUCGUACCGACCUGUGGUUACAAGAUGUCCCUGAGAAUCUCAAAAGCCGUUGGCUAUGGAUUGUAAACCUAUUCACUAAUCAGUAAAGCUCCCAAUUUUGGGAAAAAUAUAUAAUUACAAACCAAAUCACUCUGCGAAUUAGCAACUCAAUGCAAGCCUUGGAAUGCUAAUGACACGUAGGUAAAGGACGAGAAGAAUCUGCAGGUUAUGAUAUGGUCAGCAAAAAUAUAAUAUUCCUCAGAAAUACUAGAUUUAGUAGGGCAACAACUUAGAAUCUUAACAGACCAGUGAGAAGUCAAGUAGAGAAAUAUUGGUCAUGGGCAGCUUAAACGAAGAUAUUAGCCACGGAUAGCUUAAUCAGAACAAAAAUGAACAGUGGAGCUGCAUGACUAGUAAGUACUGUAGUAGAGUAGUAAUGAACGGCUAACUUGUGUGCACCAUUACCCCUGUCUUACCUACAAACAUAUCAUUUCAGUGAAUUAUGUUGUUUAUCCACCCCUUGGGAAGGGGACUUCUCUUCCCAUAAAAAAAAGAAAUGAUAAUUUGUCCAGCUUUGUUAAGCUGCAUAUAUACAGACUGAAACAACAAUGGAACACCAUACAGAUUUUUACCCUCUCUGCAAAUGCAGAGGCUACUCUGACAUGUUCCAUUUCUAAAUUGAAAACCUUCCAAAUCUGGCAAAUGAGAGUGAUAGUUCCAAAUGCAGAAUAACAACACGACAUCAAAAGAUAACCAAUUUCAUACUAGAAACUUGUACUAUGUAAAUGGAAAUAAAAGGAGUUUGACAAAGAUAAGACACUUGUACGAUGUAAAUGGAAAUAAAAGGAGUUUGACAUCUCUUAGAUUUACCCCACAUAGGAGCUAACAAGGUGACAUCAAUAAGACAAUAAUGAUCAAUUAAGGGUCCCUUGCAGAUUCUUUAUGCUUAACCAGCACGGUACAAAGCCACAAAACCCAUUAGAAGUUCAGGGCACAAAGAGGAAGAUAAAACUGAAGCAGAUAUAGACGCUAGGACACAUCCAAUCCAGUGCCACAAAACAAGAAGAUCAGGCAAUACCCAAUACCCAACAACCGCUUUUUCUGAAGUGCCACGCUAAGGACACUAAGCUGCAGGUAGUACUUUCAGUGAGCAUCUGAAGCCCAUUCCGCAAAACAUGGGACGUAAGGUAGAACAUCCUCGAAUUCUUGAGAAAAAGUGCAGGUAGCAUUGACUUUCUGAUUCUCCAUAUCAUACGAUACUGCCAUCUCCUCCUCGUCUGUAAGAAAAAUCAAAUCACAAUCUGGAUGAAUCG